This 431-nucleotide ribosomal RNA is filed under the name Anabaena sp. MDT14b. Its description in RNAcentral is "bacterial SSU rRNA". It matches the Rfam family "Bacterial small subunit ribosomal RNA", at positions 1 to 475 of the family's 1533-position model. Lineage: Bacteria; Bacillati; Cyanobacteriota; Cyanophyceae; Nostocales; Nostocaceae. The record is from RNAcentral.
CAAAAUGGAGAGUUUGAUCCUGGCUCAGGAUGAACGCUGGCGGUAUGCUUAACACAUGCAAGUCGAACGGUCUCUUCGGAGAUAGUGGCGGACGGGUGAGUAACGCGUAAGAAUCUACCUUCAGGUCGAGGACAACCACUGGAAACGGUGGCUAAUACUGGAUGUGCCGAGAGGUAAAAGGCUUGCUGCCUGAAGAAGAGCUUGCGUCUGAUUAGCUAGUUGGUGGGGUAAAGGCUCACCAAGGCGACGAUCAGUAGCUGGUCUGAGAGGAUGAUCAGCCACACUGGGACUGAGACACGGCCCAGACUCCUACGGGAGGCAGCAGUGGGGAAUUUUCCGCAAUGGGCGAAAGCCUGACGGAGCAAUACCGCGUGAGGGAGGAAGGCUCUUGGGUUGUAAACCUCUUUUCUCAGGGAAGAAAAAAAUGACGG